RNAcentral lists this ribosomal RNA (716 nucleotides) under Ophionereis schayeri lineage C KMN-2013. Its description in RNAcentral is "partial 28S ribosomal RNA". It matches the Rfam family "Eukaryotic large subunit ribosomal RNA", at positions 128 to 629 of the family's 3401-position model. The record is from RNAcentral. Lineage: Eukaryota; Metazoa; Echinodermata; Ophiuroidea; Amphilepidida; Ophionereidae.
AGUGGCGUGCGGGAAAUGUGGCGUGAGGAAGCCGUGGCCGACCGGGGACGUGGAGCCGACGUCCUUGUGAAGGAGGCUCUCAUCCCAUAGAGGGUGUUAGGCCCCCGCAGGCGCCCGUCGCCGGUGGCCUUAAGGCUUCUAAGAGUCGGGUUGUUUUGGAAUGCAGCCCAAAGACGGGUGGUAAACUCCAUCCAAGGCUAAAUACAAGGCACGAGACCGAUAGAUAACAAGUACCAUGAGGGAAAGUUGAAAAGAACUUUGAAGAGAGAGUUCAAUAGGACGUGAAGCUGCCGAGAAGUAAACGGAAAGGCCCCGCACACCGUGGCCGGGAGAUUCAGCGCAAGUGGAGGUUUUGCGGCGCCCCGCUCCGUCUGCGGAUUCCCCUCGGGAACCCUGGCAGAGUGGGUCGAUGCAGCCGCCCGUCGCGCGCAUUUCUCCCGUGCCUCUGGGGUUGGUGACCGAUCGUUGAUCGGCCGAUUGGACGCGGUGAAGGCAGGUAGCUCACCCAGGCUUCGGCCCGGGAGAGAACGUAUAGUCUCRCCGUCCGCAUCGGUCGCAAGGUCGAGGAAAGAUGCCCACGUGCUGCGCCUGCUCGGGUCUUCGGACCGGGGCUGGAGCCGCCGGACUCCCGCUCGUGCGGCGUACGGGGACUGUCCUCAGUGCCCGCUCGCUCGUGCGGUCGAGAAAGGCCGGAUCGCCUCUCAGGCGCACGGGGU